This 253-nucleotide ribosomal RNA is filed under the name uncultured bacterium. Its description in RNAcentral is "partial 16S ribosomal RNA". It matches the Rfam family "Bacterial small subunit ribosomal RNA", at positions 524 to 776 of the family's 1533-position model. The record is from RNAcentral.
UACGAAUGGGGCUAGCGUUGUUCGGAAUCACUGGGCGUAAAGCGCACGCAGGCGGAUCGAUAAGUCGGGGGUGAAAGCCCGGGGCUCAACCUCGGAAUUGCCUUCGAUACUGUCGGUCUCGAGUCCGGGAGAGGUGAGUGGAAUUCCUAGUGUAGAGGUGAAAUUCGUAGAUAUUAGGAAGAACACCAGUGGCGAAGGCGGCUCACUGGCCCGGUGCUGACGAUCAGGUGCGAAAGCGUGGGGAGCAAACAGG